This 441-nucleotide ribosomal RNA is filed under the name uncultured bacterium. RNAcentral's name for it is "partial 16S ribosomal RNA". It matches the Rfam family "Bacterial small subunit ribosomal RNA", at positions 338 to 795 of the family's 1533-position model. The record is from RNAcentral.
CCUACGGGUGGCAGCAGUCGGGAAUAUUGCGCAAUGGAGGAAACUCUGACGCAGUGACGCCGCGUGCAGGAAGAAGGUCUUCGGAUUGUAAACUGCUUUAGACAGGGAAGAAAAACGUCAGUAUCUGUCGAUUACGCUUCGGCUAACUACGCGCCAGCAGCCGCGGGAAUCCGGAGGGCGCAAGCGUUAUCCGGAAUUAUUGGGUGUAAAGGGUGCGUAGGCGGGGAGUCAAGUUAGAUGUGAAAUCCCUGGGCUUAACCGGGGAACUGCAACUAAAACUACUAAGCGUGAGUACUGGAGAGGGAGGUAGAAUUCCUGGUGUAGCGGUGAAAUGUGUAGAUAUUUGGAGGAACACCAGUGGCGAAGGCGACUUUCUGGACAGUAACUGACGUUGAGGCGCGAAAGUGUGGGGAGCAAACAGGAUUAGAUACCCUUGUAGUC